CGUUAAAGUGCGCAUAGAUAAUUUCAGGUCGGAAAGACGAAGAGCACCCUUUUCCUCUCGAUGUGUUCAAGGCGCCAACAACUUUUCCUUCAUCAAAAAGCACUUUUCUUCUGCAGGACAACCACACAGACAACAAGCAAGAACUUGCAUAAUGUUUGACUCUGUCAAAUCUCACUCCCCUCUUCUUCUCCUCGCCGUUCUCCUCAUCUAUUCAGUGUCUAUUUCAUUCUCUCAUGGCGGUUCUCAUCUCCACCACCCGCCGACCGCACACUUUCCGAAGUUUGAUGUUGUUCGGUGGGAAGAGAGAAGGCUAGUUCUUGAAGGAAAUGAUGAAGGCAGUGUACAGAAUUCGACACUGGUAUUGGCUGAAAAGAGAACGCGCAGGAGAGACCCUCUGGAUAAUUUCAGGCACUACAAGGGGGGUUGGAACAUCAGCAGCAGACAUUACUUAUUUGUCAGUGUUAUCGUUUACUUCCCUCUCUAUUCUAUUUGAUCCUUCAACGAGUUUAUGAAAUUAUAACCAGGAACAUGUUCUUUUUA
This is a long non-coding RNA of Syzygium oleosum, 540 nucleotides long. RefSeq lists it as uncharacterized. The record is from RefSeq and is a predicted model, not a curated record. NCBI's taxonomy places the organism in Eukaryota, Viridiplantae, Streptophyta, Magnoliopsida, Myrtales, Myrtaceae. The transcript has 2 exons.